This is a long non-coding RNA of Mus musculus (house mouse), 729 nucleotides long. RefSeq annotates it as predicted gene, 30808. The record is from RefSeq and is a predicted model, not a curated record. The transcript has 3 exons. Lineage: Eukaryota; Metazoa; Chordata; Mammalia; Rodentia; Muridae.
GAGAGAGAUAGGGAAAGAGAGAUGGGAGUCUCUGUGGGUUGGUUUGUUGGGUAAAAUAUGUAAGAGUCACAGGAAACAGCCUACUAUCUUAACAAGCCUCAUCCUGGUUCUCCUCUAGAUCUCCCCUGGAUGUCCAGAUAAGACCUGGAGACCUGUCAUAGGGAAAGCUGCCCCCCAGUGAACUCAGUUUGAGUUUUGGUCUUUGUGGUCCAGCAGAGCCUCAUCAUCUGAGUUCAUUGCAGCCUAGUAAAUGCAGAAGUAAAAUGACUGCCGUCUGUCCUCUGGCUCAGCAGAGCGUCGAGCGGCCGACAGCUGCCUGGCUUUGUGAUUAAAGGCUACAUUCUGCUGCCCAGUCACAUAGGCCUGGAAGAGGGUGGACCGUGUCCUCAGGGCCAAAUCCAUCCAGUUAGGAAACAGGAGAACAAAACUCAAGAACAAGCUGCGGCCCCAGGAGGAGCUGCUUCCCCCGGCCAGUCUGAGAACGGACACUUCCAAACCAGAGGGCAGGAAUGGACAAGGCUAAGGGUUAGGACCCCAAGUGGAAUGAGCCACCACUUGCCUAGAGGCUCCUGUGGGCUGUGAAUUUCCAUCCUCAGUUCUGGUAGGCUGAUAUCCUAGCAUCUGCCCCACUCCAUAGACACCCAGCUCUGGGUGGCAGAGCUACAGGCUGUUUGGACUCUGUUGAGCCACCCAGCCAUGCUCAGCUGACCUAGAGAAAGCUUCCCAAUA